AUUGAACGCUGGCGGCAGGCCUAACACAUGCAAGUCGAGCGGUAGCACAGAGAGCUUGCUCUCGGGUGACGAGCGGCGGACGGGUGAGUAAUGUCUGGGAAACUGCCUGAUGGAGGGGGAUAACUACUGGAAACGGUAGCUAAUACCGCAUAACGUCGCAAGACCAAAGUGGGGGACCUUCGGGCCUCAUGCCAUCAGAUGUGCCCAGAUGGGAUUAGCUAGUAGGUGGGGUAAUGGCUCACCUAGGCGACGAUCCCUAGCUGGUCUGAGAGGAUGACCAGCCACACUGGAACUGAGACACGGUCCAGACUCCUACGGGAGGCAGCAGUGGGGAAUAUUGCACAAUGGGCGCAAGCCUGAUGCAGCCAUGCCGCGUGUGUGAAGAAGGCCUUCGGGUUGUAAAGCACUUUCAGCGGGGAGGAAGGCGGUGAGGUUAAUAACCUCAUCGAUUGACGUUACCCGCAGAAGAAGCACCGGCUAACUCCGUGCCAGCAGCCGCGGUAAUACGGAGGGUGCAAGCGUUAAUCGGAAUUACUGGGCGUAAAGCGCACGCAGGCGGUCUGUCAAGUCGGAUGUGAAAUCCCCGGGCUCAACCUGGGAACUGCAUUCGAAACUGGCAGGCUAGAGUCUUGUAGAGGGGGGUAGAAUUCCAGGUGUAGCGGUGAAAUGCGUAGAGAUCUGGAGGAAUACCGGUGGCGAAGGCGGCCCCCUGGACAAAGACUGACGCUCAGGUGCGAAAGCGUGGGGAGCAAACAGGAUUAGAUACCCUGGUAGUCCACGCCGUAAACGAUGUCGAUUUGGAGGUUGUGCCCUUGAGGCGUGGCUUCCGGAGCUAACGCGUUAAAUCGACCGCCUGGGGAGUACGGCCGCAAGGUUAAAACUCAAAUGAAUUGACGGGGGCCCGCACAAGCGGUGGAGCAUGUGGUUUAAUUCGAUGCAACGCGAAGAACCUUACCUGGUCUUGACAUCCACAGAACUUUCCAGAGAUGGAUUGGUGCCUUCGGGAACUGUGAGACAGGUGCUGCAUGGCUGUCGUCAGCUCGUGUUGUGAAAUGUUGGAUUAAGUCCCGCAACGAGCGCAACCCUUAUCCUUUGUUGCCAGCGGUCCGGCCGGGAACUCAAAGGAGACUGCCAGUGAUAAACUGGAGGAAGGUGGGGAUGACGUCAAGUCAUCAUGGCCCUUACGACCAGGGCUACACACGUGCUACAAUGGCAUAUACAAAGAGAAGCGACCUCGCGAGAGCAAGCGGACCUCAUAAAGUAUGUCGUAGUCCGGAUUGGAGUCUGCAACUCGACUCCAUGAAGUCGGAAUCGCUAGUAAUCGUAGAUCAGAAUGCUACGGUGAAUACGUUCCCGGGCCU
This 1361-nucleotide ribosomal RNA is filed under the name uncultured bacterium. Its description in RNAcentral is "bacterial SSU rRNA". It matches the Rfam family "Bacterial small subunit ribosomal RNA", at positions 28 to 1381 of the family's 1533-position model. The record is from RNAcentral.